RNAcentral lists this long non-coding RNA (3264 nucleotides) under Sus scrofa (pig). Its description in RNAcentral is "lncRNA (ENSSSCG00030031630.1)". Lineage: Eukaryota; Metazoa; Chordata; Mammalia; Artiodactyla; Suidae. The record is from RNAcentral.
UUUUAGGGCCACACACACAGCAUAUAGAGGUUCCCAGGCUAGGCGUUGAACCGCUGGCCUAAGCCACAGCUAUAGCAAUGCCAAAUCCUUAACUCACUGAGCGAGGCCAGGGGUCGAACCUGCAUCCUCAUGGAUCCUAGUCAGAUUUGUUUCCACUGAGCCAUUACGGGAACUCCAACCAUUCAUCUGUUGACAGACAUUUAGGUUGUUUCCACAUCUUGGCUAUUGUAAAUAAUGCUGCAGUGAACAUGGGGGUGCAUUUAUCUUUUUAAGUUAGUGUUUUUGUUUUCUUUGGAUAAAUACCCAGAAAUGGAGUUACUAGAUCAUAUGGUAUUUCUCUUUUUAAUUUUUUGAGGAACCUCCAUACUGUUUUCCACAGUGGCUGCAUCAGUUAACAUUCCCUUUUGUCCACAUUCUCGCUAACACUUAUUUCUUGUCUUUUGGAUGAACAGGUGUGAGGUGAUAUCUCAUUGUGGUUUUGUUCAAUCCCUGGCCUUGUUCAGUGGGUUAAGGAUCCGGUGUUGCUGUAAGCUGUGGUGUAGGUUGCAGACAUGGCUCGGAUCCCACCUUGCUGUGGCUCUGGUGUAGGCCGGCGGCUAUGGCUCUGAUUCGACCCCUAGCCUGGGAACCUCUAUAUGCUGUGAGAGUGGCCUAAGAAAUGGCAAAAAGACGAAACAAACAAACAAAAAAGUUGCCAGGGGCCUGUCUUGCAAGAGGCUGGGGCAGUUGUGGUACAGCUAUGUGUGUAUGUAUGAACAUUUGUGUUUUGUGUGUUUAGCAGCCAUAUGAGUACCAGAGUGUCCUGAUGUCAAGUAUUUUGUCCACUUGUCCGAUUUGUGGGUCAGAAAACAAUGAAUCUACCAUGUUUAUACUGGCUCUAUUCUGGAGUUGUCCCCCAUGACCUAUGUGGCAGCCCCAAGCAAGACAAGGCCAGCCUUGGCACCAGAGCAAGCUCAAAAGCUCCAUCCUAUGAGAGCAUAUUUGUUGGCUAAUGACAGAUUGACUCAGACACCAAGCCUGGUAGGAGGAGACAGCAACAAGCAGCUUGGACCAGGGAAAUUUUUCUAUUCACUUGUGCUGCAGGGACAAAGGUCUUAGGGUGUUCCAUAUCCUCCAGAAGCCCCUACCCACCAACCCCAUCCUCCUUGCCCUAGGUGCACUCAUCUCACCAAGCCUCCCUCUGUAGCUUUAUGCCAGGUGUCUACAUAGGGGCAAGAGUCUCUAGGGACUGAGUGCCAUGACCUGACCCAUGGUAGGCAUGCUACAUGAAAAAUUAACAUGAUUGAAACUAACCCAAGUAGAAAUGAAUUAAAACAUGAUUAUGAGUCUAGGGGUGGAUCUGGGAGUGGGGGGUCAAGUAUGAGGAGGUAGGGUUCAGGGGUGCAUAAUGCUCUCAUGUCUGCGUCUACCCCCCAUGUAGAUGAACCAAUCCAUUGCAUCCAUUCAACACCCAUUCCUGAUGCCUACUCAGGACCCAGCUCUAUAUCAAGUACCAAGCUAAGCCAGAUGGAGCAAUUCUUUUUUUUUUUAUUUUCCCACUGUACAGCAAGGGGGUCAGGUUAUCCUUACAUGUAUACAUUACCAUUACAGUUUUUCCCCCAACCUUUCUUCUGUUGCAACAUGCGUAUCUAGACAUAGUUCUCAAUGCUAUUCAGCAGGAUCUCCUUGUAAAUCUAUUCUAGGUUGUGUCUGAUAAGCCCAAGCGCCCGAUCCCUCCCACUCCCUCCCCCUCCCAUCAGGCAACCAUAAGUCUCUUCUCCAAGUCCAUGAUUUUCUUUUCUGAGGAGAUGUUCAUUUGUGCUGGAUAUUAGAUUCCAGUUAUAAGUGAUAUCAUAUGGUAUUUGCCUUUGUCUUUCUGGCUCAUUUCACUCAGUAGGAGAGUCCCUAGUUCCAUCCAUGUUGCUGCAAAUGGCAUUAUGUCAUCCUUUUUUAUGGCUGAGUAGUAUUCCAUUGUGUAUAUAUACCACUUCUUCCGAAUCCAAUCAUCUGUGGAUGGACAUUUGGGUUGUUUCCAUGUCCUGGCUAUUGUGAAUAGUGCUGCAAUGAACAUGCGGGUGCAUGUGUCUCUUUUAAGUAGAGUUUUGUCCGGAUAGAUGCCCAAGAGUGGGAUUGCAGGGUCAUAUGGAAGUUCUAUGUAUAGAUUUCUAAGGUAUCUCCAAACUGUUCUCCAUAGUGGCUGUACCAGUUGACAUUCCCACCAGCAGUGCAGGAGGGUUCCCUUUUCUCCACAGCCCCUCCAGCACUUGUUAUUUGUGGACUUAUUAAUGAUGGCCAUUCUGACUGGUGUGAGGGGGGAUCUCAUGGUAGUUUUGAUUUGCAUUUCUCUUAUAAUCAGCGAUGUUGAGCAUUUUUUCAUGUGUUUGUUGGCCAUCUGUAUAUCUUCUUUGGAGAAAUGUCUAUUCAGGUCUUUUGCCCAUUUUUCCAUUGAUUGAUUGGUUUUUUUGCUGUUGAGUUGUAUAAGUUGCUUAUAUAUUCUAGAGAUUAAGCCCUUGUCAGUUGCAUCAUUUGAAACUAUUUUCAGAUGGAGCAAUUCUAACCCUUUCAUUCUUUGAAGGGGCCAUGUGUGUCCAUCCCUGGGAGGAAGAAGAAACAACUGAAAUUUAAAUUACAGUAAACUAAACUUUAUCUUUUGAACCACAGGUGUUGUUUUUGUCACUCCCUGCACUUGCCUUCAAAGAUGGAGCCAGGUAAGUACUGUGGUGGGAAGCUGUAGGGUGGAAGAAGGGAGAAGGGUGGUGAAGGCAGGGGCAAUCAGUCAGUCAUAUCCACUGCAAGCCAAGAGCAUGUGUGUUUGUGUGUGUGUAUGUGAAGGUGGUAGAAGGGUUCCAAAAUGAAAACAAGCCCUUAUAUUUUGUAGUACCAUCUACAGUUUAAGAAACCAAGUUCCCCUUCCGGCUCAGUGGAUUUCAGACCCGACUAGUAUCCAUGAGGAUGUGGAUUCAAUCCCUGGCCUCACUCAGUAGGUUGAGCGUUGCCAUGAGCUGUGGUGUAUGUUGCAGAUGCAGCUCAGAUCCUGUGUUGCUGUGACUGUGGUGUAGGCCAGCAACUGCAGCUCCACUUUGACCCCUAGCCUGGGAACUUCCAUAUGCUGUGGGCGCGGCCCUAAAAAGCAAAAAAUAAAAAUAAUAAGUAAGAGACAUGCCCACUGGAGAGUCCUCAUGGCUCAGCAAGUUAAGGAUCCAGAAGUGUCAAUGCUGUGGCUCUGGUUCCAGCUGAGGUGUGGGUUCAAUCCUUGACCUGGGAACUUCUGCAUGCCACAGGCAC